This 901-nucleotide long non-coding RNA is filed under the name Gossypium barbadense (sea-island cotton). RNAcentral's name for it is "long non-coding RNA (GBAR_LNC019313)". Lineage: Eukaryota; Viridiplantae; Streptophyta; Magnoliopsida; Malvales; Malvaceae. The record is from RNAcentral.
ACGUAGCGGUGAUAAUGGACGGGAACGGGCGGUGGGCUCGGCAGCGGGGAUUGGCGACAUCAGCAGGACACGAAGCCGGUGUAAAGGCGUUGAGGGAGCUGAUCGAACUAUGUUGCCAGUGGGGGAUCCAGGUUCUGACUGUCUUCGCCUUCUCUUACGAGAACUGGAUUCGUCCCAGGGUAAUUUAUGUACUUGUAAUUUCAUAUUAUGGUUUUGAUUAAGGUAAAGAUGUAGAGAGGGUUAAAUUUGGAGUGAAUACUAUGAUUAAUUGGGGGUGUAGUCGAAGUGCAGGUGGAGGUUGAUUUUUUGAUGAGUUUGUUUGAGAGAGCGUUGAAGUCUGAAGUGGAGUCAUUUUCUAGGUAACUCCCCUUUCGCUUCUCAUUUUUAUACCAAAUUAUUUUACUGCUUAUACUUCCAAAUUAAUUUCUAAAUCUAUUUUUUCCAGAUUAAUUAAAUAUUAAUUCAAUUAAGAAAUAAUUAAUAUAUAAUUAAAUUGUUAAUUAAAAACUGUUAUGUGCUAAUUUGUUUCAUAUGAAUUUUUUUUUUGUAUAUGAAUGAUUAAAUUGUUCUAUUUUAACAAAUGUUUUUUUUUAGAUUAAAACAAUUUCUUGUAUCUAGAAUUAUAUAGCGGGAUUCUCAUAUCUGAUAUCCUAUUUUGAUUGGAGCAGAGGAGGCAUUCGAAUAUCAGUAAUAGGGGAUUCAACAAAGCUUCCCACAUCGCUGCAAAAGUUGAUCAACGAAGUUGAGGAGACCACAAAACAUAACUCCAGGCUCCAACUCAUUGUAGCCGUCAGCUACAGUGGGAAAUACGACGUCGUACAAGCAUGCCGGAGCAUUGCCGAGAAAGCCAAAGACGGCCAAAUCCAACUAGAUGACAUCAACGAAAGCCUAAUCGAACAAG